RNAcentral lists this ribosomal RNA (253 nucleotides) under uncultured bacterium. RNAcentral describes it as "partial 16S ribosomal RNA". It matches the Rfam family "Bacterial small subunit ribosomal RNA", at positions 524 to 776 of the family's 1533-position model. The record is from RNAcentral.
UACGUAGGGCGCAAGCGUUGUCCGGAAUUAUUGGGCGUAAAGAGCUCGUAGGCGGCUUGUCACGUCGGGUGUGAAAGCCCUGGGCUUAACCUGGGAAUGGCGUUGAAGACUGUAGGUCUAGAGUUUGGCAGAGGGUCGUGGAAUUUCCGGUGUAGCGGUGAAAUGCGUAGAGAUCGGAAAGAACACCAGUGGCGAAGGCGGCGGCCUGGGCCAAAACUGACACUGAGGUGCGAAAGCGUGGGGAGCAAACAGG